Molecule: ribosomal RNA, 1484 nt
Filed under: Synechococcus sp. KORDI-52
Lineage: Bacteria; Bacillati; Cyanobacteriota; Cyanophyceae; Synechococcales; Synechococcaceae
Description: bacterial SSU rRNA
Rfam family: Bacterial small subunit ribosomal RNA
Source: RNAcentral
ACGGAGAGUUUGAUCCUGGCUCAGGAUGAACGCUGGCGGCGUGCUUAACACAUGCAAGUCGAACGAACCUUCGGGUUAGUGGCGGACGGGUGAGUAACGCGUGAGAAUCUGCCCUCAGGAGGGGGAUAACGGUUGGAAACGACCGCUAAUACCCCAUAUGCCGCGAGGUGAAAUGAAUUUCGCCUGAGGAUGAGCUCGCGUCUGAUUAGCUAGUUGGUGUAGGUAAUGGCUCACCAAGGCAUCGAUCAGUAGCUGGUCUGAGAGGAUGAUCAGCCACACUGGGACUGAGACACGGCCCAGACUCCUACGGGAGGCAGCAGUGGGGAAUUUUCCGCAAUGGGCGAAAGCCUGACGGAGCAACGCCGCGUGAGGGAUGAAGGCCUCUGGGCUGUAAACCUCUUUUAUCAAGGAAGAAGAUCUGACGGUACUUGAUGAAUAAGCCACGGCUAAUUCCGUGCCAGCAGCCGCGGUAAUACGGGAGUGGCAAGCGUUAUCCGGAAUUAUUGGGCGUAAAGCGUCCGCAGGCGGCCCUUCAAGUCUGCUGUUAAAGCGUGGAGCUUAACUCCAUCAUGGCAGUGGAAACUGUUGGGCUUGAGUGUGGUAGGGGCAGAGGGAAUUCCCGGUGUAGCGGUGAAAUGCGUAGAUAUCGGGAAGAACACCAGUGGCGAAGGCGCUCUGCUGGGCCAUCACUGACGCUCAUGGACGAAAGCCAGGGGAGCGAAAGGGAUUAGAUACCCCUGUAGUCCUGGCCGUAAACGAUGAACACUAGGUGUCGGGGGAAUCGACCCCCUCGGUGUCGUAGCCAACGCGUUAAGUGUUCCGCCUGGGGAGUACGCACGCAAGUGUGAAACUCAAAGGAAUUGACGGGGGCCCGCACAAGCGGUGGAGUAUGUGGUUUAAUUCGAUGCAACGCGAAGAACCUUACCAGGGUUUGACAUCCUGCGAAUCUCUUGGAAACGAGAGAGUGCCUUCGGGAACGCAGUGACAGGUGGUGCAUGGCUGUCGUCAGCUCGUGUCGUGAGAUGUUGGGUUAAGUCCCGCAACGAGCGCAACCCACGUCUUUAGUUGCCAGCAUUCAGUUGGGCACUCUAGAGAGACCGCCGGUGAUAAACCGGAGGAAGGUGUGGAUGACGUCAAGUCAUCAUGCCCCUUACAUCCUGGGCUACACACGUACUACAAUGCUACGGACAAAGGGCAGCAAGUUCGCGAGGACAAGCAAAUCCCAUAAACCGUGGCUCAGUUCAGAUCGUAGGCUGCAACUCGCCUACGUGAAGGAGGAAUCGCUAGUAAUCGCAGGUCAGCAUACUGCGGUGAAUACGUUCCCGGGCCUUGUACACACCGCCCGUCACACCAUGGAAGUUGGCCACGCCCGAAGCCGUUACUCCAACCCUUGUGGAGGAGGACGUCGAAGGUGGGGCUGAUGACUGGGGUGAAGUCGUAACAAGGUAUCCGUACCGGAAGGUGCGGAUGGAUCACCUCCUAAC